Molecule: long non-coding RNA, 667 nt
Filed under: Physcomitrium patens
Lineage: Eukaryota; Viridiplantae; Streptophyta; Bryopsida; Funariales; Funariaceae
Description: long non-coding RNA (PPAT_LNC012971)
Source: RNAcentral
UUUGGUAGCAAAGGGAGUAAUAAGGGCACCAAUAUAGAUGAAUGGAGAUGGAUGAUGAAAAUCUCCAUUCUUAUUGGUCAAAAAUCAUGACCAAUGGACUUUGAGGAGGCUGCCCCAGGCCAUAUUAGGGAUUAGGAUUAGUUUUUUGGGGCAUUUGAGCUUUGAAGGCUAGGAUCAAUAAGUUUAGUUUUUUUGCUAUGAUUUUGGUAUAAAACUUAUAUGAUUUGGAGUUUAUAUGAAGGAGAUAUAGGCGCUCAAAGUUAAGGUGUUGAUUUGGGAGCUAUUGUCACUCUUUUUGACAUAACGCACGCAUACAAAGGACAAUUGAGGAUCGAUGACUGCGACUAGAGAAAGCAGUUUUGCGGCUAUACUUUUUGCUUAUUGCUUGCUGGAUUCCAAGUUGGAAUGAAGGAGUUAUUAGAUUUUGAAGUCAGCAUAUGCAAUCUAAUGGUAGUAAGUGACCCGAUUUACUAGUGGUUGUGUCUUGAGCUAUAUCUUGAGCAAUUUGAUAAGAUUUUAACUCAAAAUUUCAGGAAAUGUGUAAAUUCAUGUUAAUAAACUUUUCACAUAAGUUUGAUGACAUUUGAAUAUUGGAUUCUUAAGAUAUUAAGAAAAUAAAGCUCGGAUUCUUGUAAAUUAGGGUUUAAAGUAUUUACUAUGGUUUCUU